UGCCUGGCUGCGGCCCCGGAUCAUCGUCGGACCGGACAAGGACGUCUGUGGUCAACGGGCUGAGGAAGAAGCUCAAGGAUUCUAUGGAUAGCUUUAAUGACUUGAGGCAGAAGAUAUCGUCUGAGUAUAGAGAGACUGUUCAGCGUAGGUACUUCACCGUCACCGGAGACAACCCUGAUGAGAAAACCGUUGACCUUCUUAUCUCCACCGGUGAAAGCGAGACAUUUUUGCAGAAGGCAAUCCAAGAGCAAGGAAGAGGGAGGGUUCUGGACACCA
This is a non-coding RNA of Prunus avium (sweet cherry), 276 nucleotides long. Lineage: Eukaryota; Viridiplantae; Streptophyta; Magnoliopsida; Rosales; Rosaceae. The record is from RefSeq and is a predicted model, not a curated record.